UACGGGGGGGGCAAGCGUUGUUCGGAAUUACUGGGCGUAAAGGGCGCGUAGGCGGCCUGCUAAGUCGGAUGUGAAAUCCCUCGGCUCAACCAAGGAAGUGCAUCCGAAACUGCUGAGCUUGAGUACUUAAGAGGAUCGCGGAAUUCCCGGUGUAGAGGUGAAAUUCGUAGAUAUCGGGAGGAACACCAGUGGCGAAGGCGGCGAUCUGGGAAGAUACUGACGCUGAGGUGCGAAAGCGUGGGGAGCAAACAGG
This 253-nucleotide ribosomal RNA is filed under the name uncultured bacterium. RNAcentral describes it as "partial 16S ribosomal RNA". It matches the Rfam family "Bacterial small subunit ribosomal RNA", at positions 524 to 776 of the family's 1533-position model. The record is from RNAcentral.